This 432-nucleotide ribosomal RNA is filed under the name uncultured bacterium. RNAcentral describes it as "partial 16S ribosomal RNA". It matches the Rfam family "Bacterial small subunit ribosomal RNA", at positions 29 to 507 of the family's 1533-position model. The record is from RNAcentral.
AACGAACGCUGGCGGCAUGCCUAACACAUGAAGUCGCACGAGACCUUCGGGUCUAGUGGCGCACGGGUGCGUAACGCGUGGGAACCUGCCCUUAGGUUCGGAAUAACUCCCCGAAAGGGGUGCUAAUACCGGAUAAUGUCUUCGGACCAAAGAUUUAUCGCCUUUGGAUGGGCCCGCGUUGGAUUAGCUAGUUGGUAGGGUAAAAGCCUACCAAGGCGACGAUCCAUAGCUGGUCUGAGAGGAUGAUCAGCCACACUGGGACUGAGACACGGCCCAGACUCCUACGGGAGGCAGCAGUGGGGAAUAUUGGACAAUGGGCGAAAGCCUGAUCCAGCAAUGCCGCGUGAGUGAUGAAGGCCUUAGGGUUGUAAAGCUCUUUUACCCGGGAUGAUAAUGACAGUACCGGGAGAAUAAGCUCCGGCUAACUCCGUG